RNAcentral lists this long non-coding RNA (678 nucleotides) under Taeniopygia guttata (zebra finch). RNAcentral describes it as "lncRNA (ENSTGUG00000025208.1)". Lineage: Eukaryota; Metazoa; Chordata; Aves; Passeriformes; Estrildidae. The record is from RNAcentral.
GUCCAGCUGGCGUAAAAGGCUAGAGGACAAACAAAAUGCUGCACAGGCCCAAAUAAAGACAACUAUAGACACAUAGCAGAGGUUUCCUGCUUCAAGUAGCUAUUAUAUUAACCUACACUUUAGGCAAAGAGCAUUUUAGGUUUCACACUGAUGAAAACAUAGGAUGAGCAGAAGCAUCAAUAAAAGUUGCACCUUUAAUGAAACAGAUGAAACAGGCCAGCAAAGCUGUGAUCUUCUCCUUUCAAAACCUUGUCACUGCCGUUCAGCAGAAAUUCCACAGGUAUGGGACCAUCCUGCUGGAACGAAAUGCAGGUACUAGAAUUCCAGUGCCAUUUUUGGGAAGACUGUGGAUGCAUUGAAGGCAUUUCCCAGCAUGAUCUGCAAGGGAAAAUGGUGAUGAAGCCAGAAAAAAAGGAAAGCAAAACCAUCACAAAUGCACUGAGUGUUUUUGCAGAAAUAGCAGCAUCGCCAAGGUACCUCCAUCCCUUCACUCCGAUGGCAAUCACACCACAGCUGUCCACUUGGGAAAGAAAAGAACAAAAAGGAAGCAGAUCCCUGGGUUUGAUCCCUCCUGGUCGGGCUGCAGUGCUCUGGGGCUGGAGGAGCCCUGGGGAGGAGGUCAUGUGCAAAUUGAACGUGACAGCCCAGACGACAUGUCCAACAGACUUAUAUUGUUAG